AGCUACAGAAACUUGAGAUUUUUUGCCAUCCACCUCCAGAAGUGUCCUCUUCCACUUCAAUACCUCUGCCUUUUGGAUAGGCUUGACAUGAACAGUAAUCAGCAACAAAAAGUGCGCCUAAAGUGAACUGUAAUCAGUGGGAAGUAACUGAAGUGAAAUAUUUUCAUACAGAGGUCAUCAUUUUCUUGUGGAAAAUGGUACAAGUACAUAAUUACUUCAAAGCAGGCAGUCUAUGACAAAAUAAAUAAAUACAAGAAACUGAGGAGAUAAAGGCA
RNAcentral lists this long non-coding RNA (275 nucleotides) under Coturnix japonica (Japanese quail). RNAcentral describes it as "lncRNA (ENSCJPG00005017689.1)". The record is from RNAcentral. Lineage: Eukaryota; Metazoa; Chordata; Aves; Galliformes; Phasianidae.